RNAcentral lists this long non-coding RNA (1353 nucleotides) under Mus spicilegus (steppe mouse). RNAcentral describes it as "lncRNA (ENSMSIG00000024676.1)". The record is from RNAcentral. Lineage: Eukaryota; Metazoa; Chordata; Mammalia; Rodentia; Muridae.
UCGAGAUCCCAGCGACUAGGGUCUUACUCGCCUGACUAGCCCUCUGGGCGCCUGGUGGUUAGGAGCCGCCAGUUCUAUGGCUCUGGUCCGUGGCCCAGCUUGAUGGGUGUGUGGUCAAUCUGUCACCACUGGAGCGACUCAAUUCCAGCAGUCCUUAAGAGCUAUUUUGAGUAAACUCUGGGUUUUCGUGACUCAGCUCGGUGAGCGGCGCUAUUUAUAGGUAGAUGAGUUAAGAGCGGGGAAAUACGCUUCGAUAGGAUCGGUCCGCCCUAUUAUAGCAAAGAUCUCUACUAAGAAGCAACAAUUUAAAGUCUUAGGAAAGAAAAAUACUUGGUUCUUAGAAUCUGUGUUGUAAGGAGAAGACUUAGAACAGUGAAAGUGGAACAUUUCCCGGAGUAAAUGGAGAAUUUGGGGACUGUCAUGACCAUUAACUGGCUUUUCGGUGUAGGUUACUGAUUCUCCUAGACACCUGCAACAUAGAAUGCCCAUAUUAGAAUGAUAAAAGGGGAAACUAAAUGCUGGCAAAGUCCCUGCACUAUAUUCUGUAACAGGAAGGGAUGUGUGAUAUUUAUCUAGUGUCAAAAGUCUGGUCUGGUGGGAAUUUUAUGUUUAUCACCCAAUUUCUUCCAAGAAAGUAAACAAAAACGUGUGCUUUUCUUCCCUAGUGUGUAAAUGUGCCACUAGUAUGUUAUUGCUUGUUGGGGUGUUAUGAUUUUAAUUUUCACAUUCCCACAUUCCUUCAGCCUCCACUUUAGAAAUCCAAGAGGCAUAUGCUAUGAGAAAGAUUGUGAGGUUGUCUGUCGGGUGGGAAGAGUUGAGUGAGCUCUCCUAGCCGCUGUAGCUUUCCAUAGGUAGUGUCACCUGGGGUGUCUCUUGAAAGAAAGAUGGUGACUUCCUGGGUGGUUAGGUCAGCUAAGAAUAAAAGUGUCCAAAAGACUACAGAGUACACACACUGGGGCCUGCAAGAUAGAUGUGCGUACUGUUCUGUAGGCCAUCCGUCCUGCUACCCGAAAAUAAAGAGAAACUUGCUGCUUCCUUCAUAAGACCAAAAAGAGCCAGGCAUGAUGCUUAGUGCCUGUAAUCCACUCGGGAGGCUGAGGCAAGAGGACUACUGUGAUCUCAAGACCAGCAUGCAAUACAGACUAUGACUGUCUCAAAAACAAUGGGACUGGAAAGACUUCCACUCUUAGUGGAAAAGAAAGCAUAAGAGUUGCAUGUACUUUUCCCAUUUUCACAGUAAAUACUAAGUCAACAGUUACCAGGUAAAUGAUUGGCUUAAUAUAUCUAGAGAACUAAAAAUAACACUCAUAUCAAGGUAAAUAAAAUGUUCUUUAUAACCUGGUAUCUUUUACA